AACGCUGGCGGCGUGCCUAACACAUGCAAGUCAAGGAGAAUUCCCGACUUGUCGGGAUAGUAAACUGGCGAACGGGUGAGUAACACGUAGGUAAUCUACCCUCGGGAUCGGGAUAACCUCGCGAAAGUGGGGAUAAUACCGAAUAAAGUCUCGGUAUAAUUUGUCGAGAUGAAAGAUGGGGAUCUUCGGACCUAUUACCUGAGGAUGAGCCUGCGCCUGAUUAGCUAGUUGGUAGGGUAAAUGCCUACCAAGGCAACGAUCAGUAGCUGGUCUGAGAGGAUGAUCAGCCACAUUGGGACUGAGAUACGGCCCAGACUCCUACGGGAGGCAGCAGUGAGGAAUUUUGCGCAAUGGGCGAAAGCCUGACGCAGCAACGCCGCGUGACUGAUUAAGCUCUGAGGAGUGUAAAAGUCUGUCGUAGAGGAAGAAACUAUCCGAUAAGAAUAUUGUCGGAUACUGACGGUACUCUAUGAGAAAGCUCCGGCUAACUCCGUG
Molecule: ribosomal RNA, 495 nt
Filed under: uncultured bacterium
Lineage: Bacteria
Description: bacterial SSU rRNA
Rfam family: Bacterial small subunit ribosomal RNA
Source: RNAcentral